This 7802-nucleotide long non-coding RNA is filed under the name Zea mays. RNAcentral's name for it is "long non-coding RNA (ZMAY_LNC002408)". The record is from RNAcentral. Lineage: Eukaryota; Viridiplantae; Streptophyta; Magnoliopsida; Poales; Poaceae.
AUUUUCAAGGCUUUGCUCAGCAGCAUGCUCUGCAAAACAAGUCAAAGUUAGAAUACCAAAAUCACCACGAAGGUAAUAAUAGAGAGUUAUAGAGAAACCUUACAUUGAAAUUAGAAUAGAACAAACUACUGACAAUAUGUUGCCACCUGUAGCAGCUAAUGUCAGUUUCCAGCUUCGGAAAUCCAACACUCUUGGAUAAGGUGCCUACAAUUUUUGCACCGGCGUGGUCGCGAAUGCAUCCCAAAAUUUCUUCGUCGACCUCGCCGAAGAGUAUGGACCCCGGCUGGUAACCACAGGAUAUAUCAAACUCUUUUAACUUUGUCUUAUCCACUUUGGAAAGUUCUUGGCCACCUAGGUGCACAAGGUCAAAAUCUUUCUCUUCUGAAAAGUCAUCUUCAAUUCUUUUUCCUUUAUUAGGUGCUACGACCAUGUUCUCCUUGGCAACCACAUCUGAUAUGAGUUUGUCAAUUUCUGACAUUGUAGUUGCGAGUUCCUCAGCUUCGGCUCCGGUGACAUCUUCGGUAUUGACUGGUAUCGUGUCACACCCUAACUUUAAGGAACAAAGCUGGGUGCAUCUUAUACAUGUGCCAAAGAAGACAACACAUAUAAUAACAGAGUGUAUAGAGAUAAAUGUCACUAUAAUCAGAGUAUUUAUUACAUAGCGGAAUCUUACAAAAUAAAGAUAAAUAUAACAGGAUCUAAAAUCCAUCCUUGGCGCCAGAAAGUCAACUGGCCGGGAGACACCAUCUAGAUCGAAACGAACUCCUCGAUACGUGGCUCCUCUUGAACCACCUGUUCUUCUCCUGUGGGGGGGUGAGACAGCAAGAGUGAGCUCACACAUGUUCAUCGCUCAACAAGUUGCGGAGAAUAAUGUGCAUGUACUCGCCAAAGGUGGGAGCUCAUGAUGUGUAAGGCUUACCAAAGUGAAUGGUUCAAGCUGAGCAUUGCUUUUAAUGUUGGUCAAAAUUUUAUUAGCAAUUACUAAGUGUUGGAGACUUAUUCUCAAAUGCUUCGGAUUAAGAACAAGGCAACACAAAAAGAGGUUAAUGGUUAAUGUUAUUCGUCCUUCGAAGCAUUAUUUCCCUUAGGAUAUAUAACGAUCUUCGGACGAAGGUUAUGAAGGACGUACCUUCAUCAUCACAGUACAUAUUAACGAAAGACGAAACAUAUGAAAUAUGAGAAAUAGCACGGAUAACCAUAUGACAUUAUUAUUAUAUCUUUAUUAUAUCAUCAUGAAUAAAUAAGAACAACAUCGGGUUACAUUUGUACCUUCGGCUCUACAGAAGGUGGAAAGUCCAAGCGUGACGCACAAGUGAAUACAAGUCAGCGUGAACAGUAUGGGGUACUGUUCAUCUAUUUAUAGGCACAGGGCGCAGCCUAUGUGAAAUUACAUUCAUGCCCUUCAUGCCUACUAUUGACCUAAGAACAAUCUGUCGGGGACUAGAUAGCCUUUUCCUCCUUAAGUCGGUUCCUUUUUCUGCUACUGAGCCGAAGCUCACUUGCGCAUCUUCAACACUGGUUCAGCCUUCGUUCCGACCCUGCUCCCAUAUUGUGUACAACUUCAUCCUAAGUCCGAAGGUGCCUGUCUGCAUAUUACACUUGGGAAACAUUGUUAAUCAUGUUUUUGAGGACCUUCGGGAGACGAAGGCCCCCAAUAGUAGCCCCUCGCAGUAUUAAUUUGUUAUGACAACAAAUUGAGACUGCGACGUGAACGAAGGCCUUAAGCCGAAGGUCCGAAAAAACACCUGCCCUUUGCUAGAAUAGCAACAAUCAAUGACAGACGGGGCCCUCCAAGUUGCAGCGUGCUAGGCGUAUAAAUAUGAACUCACGCCGGCAUCAUUUGAUACGCUGUUUCUGCCAUUUGCAUUAUUUUCUAAAACUUUUUAGCUCUUGCUCACUAGCGCUUGCUAGACUUUCAAGCUUUUUGAGCUUCGGCUUAAAGACGUUUGCACCAUGUCUGAGGAAAAAAUGACCGAGGAAAAGAAGGUUGCUACGGAGACAAAGCUGGCUGAAGAGACGAAGUUAUUUGAAGAAAAGAAAGCUGCGGAUCCUUUUAUUGCCGGGUUUAUUGAAUCUAUGUCAAAAACAAAUAAAGAGAAGAUUACUAAAGAGAUACUAGAGGGUUUGUCUGAAGAUACUGAUGACAGUGAUAGAUAUGAUGUGGACAGUGGGGAUGAAGAUUCUGAAGAUCGUCCGUGGCGACCAAGCCAUACUAUCUUCGGAAAAUCGACUAUUAAACAGAGUCAUCUUGACAACAUGAGAGGAAGGUACUUUCGUGACAUGUCUAUCGUGAGAGUUGGCGGAGACAACAUCGUGCCCGCCCCUGAGGAAGAUGAAGUUGUCAUCUAUCGAAGCUUUUUUAAGGCUGGUCUUCGGUUUCAUUUAAGCAAGUUUGUAGUUGAAGUGCUGAAGAUCUACCAGAUCUUCCUUCAUUAGAUCACCCCCGAAGCUAUAAUGAGGAUGGGGAUUUUUGUCUGGGCUGUGAGGAGUCAGGGGCUGGAGCCAAGCGCGAAGUGCUUCUGCAGUAUGCCCGAACUCUUAUAUGAGACGAAGGAUACUGGCAAAGAAUAGUACCACAACAACUUCAGUUGUUAUGGAUUUAAUGCUCGCCCCAACACAAGCCACCCGGUGCCAACGUUUCGGAAGAGGUGGCCCAGAGCCUGGAUGGAAGAGUGGUUGUAUGUGAAGAAUGAUUUAAAGGCAAGGGAAGACAUUAAAGAAGUCAUCAUGCGCCCCAUCUAGUCCUGCUUCGGCCUCCGAAGGCCGAAGGUGGAAAAUUAUGACACUGUUGAAGCGUGUAAGAGGGCUUUCAACACUGUUUGCUCCUUCAUUGGCACAAGAGAUUUAAUUUAGGAACAUAUAGCCUUUAGGGUGUGACCGCUUGUGGAAAGCUGGGAAAUGCCGAGGGAGACCACCACCAAUUCUAGCGAAGGUGGUUUGGUCCGACUGAAGUAUACCUUCAGAUUCAGGGAGAAGUUUCAUGAGCCAAACGACAACUGGCUAAAGUGCAUCGAAGCUACCAGUGAUGAACUGCUUGGAGCAUAUUCCAAGGCAGAAGAUAAUGCUCUAUCCGCAGUCUUCGGAGGUCGGGGGAAGAAAAGACUGAACAGAGUUUUUGACGCGAUCAGCUUCGUAUACCCUGAUUACCGCUACCCGCUGCGUGGACAAGAGAAAAAGAGGAAGAUUGCUGCUUCAGUCACACCAGCUGAGCCUGUGCCGAAGAGCAAAAAGGUGAAGGUUCUGACCCAGCGGCCUCGUUAUAUUGAACCGGUCGUGGUGCCUGAAUUCGGCGCAGGGUCCUCCUCAACAACCGAAGCAACAGAAACUGCUCCAAUUGCAUAGAGUACUGAAGAGGCGACCGUAAUGCCGAAGGUACCCAUAGCCGAGCCAGUCGAGGCUAAGGUUGAUAAGGCUGAAAAGUCGAAGAUUGAAGAAAUAAUAAAAAAAUGCCAAAAAUUCUGAUCCCUCCGACAAAGACAAAACUGUCGAAGAUGCAAAAGGCUUCUGUUGCAACUCCCAAGAGGAGGAGAAUGGCCAACGUGCUGGAUAUUGUGCUGGAAACUACGAAGAUUUUAAGCCCUGCUGCUUCAAAGAAAGUUGCUGAAAUUACAAAAACACAGGCCGAAACUAAAACUAGGAAAACAGAAACUAAAGUUGCGCCAGCUCAAACUAAGGCCGAAGCUGGGCCUUUAGUGCCCACCGAGAUGGAGCCUGCUGAUCCUAAGGAAACAACGACAGCGCAGAUUGCAUUUGAAAAGAUCUAAACUCCUGCUCCCGAAGCUUCGAACAAAAACAUUGACUACAUUAUUUGUCAUGCUUCGGGAAAGGAACUAUCCCAAGAAGAAAUGCUAGAAGCAUGACACUACGCCCAAAAAUUGAAAUAUCCGAAGGGGGCGUUAGUGUUCAAUGGUAGUGACGAAGAAGAUUUUCUGUACCGUCUCCCGGAUAACAAAGAAAUAUCCGUUUGCCGGGAGAUAGGUAAAAACAUCGGAUUCCCAAAGCUAGAAGACGACCUUUCGAUUUUAUCGAAUGAUGAACUUGCUGAUAGCCUAGCAUACAAUAGCAUUAAGGUAUAAAAGUUAACUUUGAAUUUGAAAAUGAGGUAUAUCAUUUGUCACUCAGUUCUUUCCUCCUCUUGUAGGGCUUGAUUCUUAGUAAUGCCCUUAGGGCACAGAAAAAUAUUGAAGACGAAGGCUAUAUAAUGGCUUUGAACAACCUUCGUUCAUAGGUGAUUGAAUUGAGAAACGAAGGUCUUGAAAAAAACAAAAUCUUAAUUUCUCUGGUUAACAAAGUGAAAGAAGAUGAAGCUAGUUUCAAAGCUCAAGCCGAAGCCCAAAAGAUUGAAAUUGAAGACCAUCAGAGGCAACUGGUCGAAGCUAAAGAAAAAUGUGCACUCGCAGAAGCUAACCAAGAAAUCAGCGAAUAUUGGAAAAAUCAUUUAGAGAAAAAUGUUGAAGAACUUCGCACAUCCAAGGAAAGGUGCUUUGAAAAAUCCUUGGAUUGUGUGAAGAAAAUAAAAGCUAGUUUCGCCAAAGUGGGUGCCUAUUCUGCCAAAGAAAACUUCAUACGAGGCGACCCCAAAGGCGUUAUUGAAUGGAUAAGUGGAGAGGUCGAGACCUUUGAAGAAAUUUUAAGUGAUCGCGGGGAUGUUUGCGCAUUUUCCGGUGCACGGGGAAUUUCAGUCAUCUUGGAGAAGGAGGGAUGCGACCAUAUUAAAAACAUGGCCCAGACUGAAGCUGCCUUCUCCAUAGAUGAUACGAAGGAUCCUUCAGCUCAAGCAACCUUGAUGGACGGAAAAUUCUAUAAUGAUGUCUGGGUGAAUGGUGGCCGAGAGAUGGCCCAUGAAAUUAAAAAUAAAAGUGAAAAAGACACCCAUGACGCCCGAGUAGAAGCAAGACAAGCUAAAGAAGCUGCAGAGCGCGAAAAGCAUAUAGGUAAUAUCUUUUGAUUUUUAGCUUCGGCAUUUGUUUUUGUGGCUUCGGACUAAUUAAUUUUUCCCACUUCAGCUGAAUUAUCUCUGCCGUCGGAACCGUUCGACCCCCUGGCUGAUCCAAAAACGAAGGAAGCGCUGGAGAUCAUCAAUAUGGAUGAAUCUAUUGUUGAUGAAGUUGUUAACAAAUUACUGAACGAAGUUGCAGAAAAAGUCCUCAAAGAAGAAUAGCUCUAAUUGUAAAAAUAUUUUGAAAUGGUUGAUGUAUGAGACACUAGAAUGGCCAUUGUACUUUUAUUGUAACAAUACUGUAAUAUUUGAUGUAUGUAGCUUUGAAUCGAAUAUGUAAAUUAUUGUAAUUCAUUUCUUUGCGAUGCAUGAAACUUUACAUACAUACCGUUUUUGAGCCUUCGGCGAAAAAACACCUUCCUUCUUUUUAUGCUUCGUAAAGAAAAAGAUCCAUGCUUCGUAAAAAUGUCCAUGCUUCGUUAAAAUAUCCAUGCUUCGCAAAGAGGGAUCCCUUCUUUUGUGAUAAGGCUGAUGAGGUUGUAUUUUCGAAGCUUACUUCGUGCCUUAGCACAUUUUCAUUUUUACGAAGCAUUCGCCGAAGAUCAACUCCGUAUUCGAUUCUCGUGUCAUUGAUGCGAUAUGAUGUAUGAUGUGAUGCUAUGCGAAAUGAUGUGAUGAUAUGAUGCAAAAUGAUAUUGAUGCCGAAGACACACACCCACACACCCACACUGGAAUACACAAACUCUGCGUCCCCUUAGGAACGACCUUUGAGCUUCUUCGCCGUUUAUUUUUCGGUGUAAGUUCUACAUCCCCUUAGGAACGUCUUUUGAGCUUCUUCGCCUUCUAUUUCGACAGUAUAAGUUCUGCAUCCCCUUAGGAAUGACUUUUGAACUUCUUUGCCUUAUAUUUUGGCGGUAUUUGGCUCUGCAUUCCCGUUGGAAUGACUUUUGAGCAGAAAACUUACGCUGCGCUCCCUUAGGAAUGACUUUUUGUUGCUUCGGUAAUUUUAGCUCUGCAUUCCCUUAGGAAUGUCUUUUGAGCACAAAACUUACGCUGCGCUAGCUUCAUAACUUUUGAACUUCGUAAAUCUGUGAAGAAGAUAUAUUUCAUUUUGAUAGAAGCAAAAUCAUUACAAGAAAUUGAAACUAAAUUUACAUUGCUUGUUCCUUAUUAAAAAGCAAAAUGGCAUAGAACAUAAAAGUAUUUCAGCGGCAGGAUAUCGCUCAGUAUCUGUGCUUUGAUUCUGGCACAGUACUGUUGACUGUACUAGCUUCGGAUUCCUCUAUGAACUCACAUUGCUGUUGGGAGUGCUGGCGCCCUUCUGGCUGCUGGCUUCGGGAAUAGGUAGGUUGCAGUGGUGGUGGCGGUGGGAGCUGAGGCCAAGAAGCCUGUGAAUGGCUUGCCGAAGCAACAGAAGCUGCAGGAUGAUUGCCCACAUAUUCUGGUAUGUAGGGAGAGUAGCACGAAAAAGUGUGCAAGACCUGCUUCAGCUGAUUCUGCCAAGAUUCGGCUUUGGCGAUCUCCCUUUGCUUCAGAAUAGUGAUUUGGCACAUUCUUGUAGUAUGACCCUUGUCCUCACCACAGAAUAAGCAAUAGAUCUUCCUGGGCUGAUCCCCAUAUCUUCCUCCGAAGCCGCUGGCGCCUCUGCCCCUUGGAGCUGGCGGUCUGAAGGAGCUUUGCUGUUGUCCUAAAGACUGUGAGGUGUGCUGUGGCCUCUGAAGCUGGCUUCCUUUAUCAUCAUUCUGAAUGGAGCUAUGGAUUGAUCUAACGUGCCUAGGGUGGACUCUCCCUUCGAAGCCCCUAGUCAUCUCAAGGAAUCUGUAAGCUUCCUCCCUUCUUUGUCGGAAGUCAUUGUCAGCCCGGAUGUACUCAUCCAUUUUUUGAAGAAACUUCUCCAGAGUUUGGGGAGGUUUCCUGGCGAAGUAUUGGGCCGUAGGUCCUGGCCGAAGACCCUUGAUCAUGGCCUCAAUGACAAUUUCAUUGGGCACUGUGGGCGCUUGUGCUCUUAGUCGCAAGAACCUUCGGACAUAUGCCUGAAGGUAUUCCUCAUGGUCUUGUGUGCGCUGGAACAAGGCCUGAGCUGUGACUGGCUUCGUCUGAAAGCCUUGAAAACUGGUAACCAGCAUGUCCUUGAGCUUCUGCCACGACGUGAUUGUCCCUGGUCGAAGGGAAGAAUACCAUGUCUGGGCCACGUUUCAGACUGCCAUGACGAAGGACUUUGCCAUGACAGCUGCGUUGCCUCUGUAUGAGGAUAUUGUUGCCUCAUAGCUCAUCAAGAAUUGCUUUGGGUCCGAGUGCCCAUCGUACAUGGGUAGUUAAGGUGGCUUGUAGGAUUGUGGCCAUGGGAUAACCUACAAUUCUGCCGCAAGAGGAGAAGCAUCAUCAAAAGCAAAGGUACCAUGAUUAAGAUCAUCGUACCAUUCAUCUUCAUUGAAUGAGCCCUCUUGACGAAGCUCCAAGUGUUGAGGCCUUCGAUCAUGAUCAUCUUGAGUAAGAUGACGCACUUCCUCAGUGGCUUUGUCGAUCUUCUUCUGAAGGUCGGCCAGCCAAGCCAUCUUCUCCUUUUCCUUUGCACCUGAUGGUGAAUGAUUUCUAGGUCCAACUCCUCCUCCUGAAGUGUUGGACUGGUGGCUUUCUUCUUUUGGCUUCUGGCCUCUCGGAGAGAGAGUGUCUUGGUUUGUGUCUAGUGGCUGCAGUACAGCCCCUGGCGCUGUUAUCUUCUUCGGCGGCAUAAUGAAGGUUGAUGCUUUGCCGAAGGUUGUGGAAGUGAGUACACCGGAGGUGGGCGCCAAUGUUGGAGACUAGUUCUCAAAUGCUUCGGAUUAAGAACAAGGCAACACAAAAAGAGGUUAAUGGUUAAUGU